AAAUAUUUAAUGACAUUAACAGCUAUAGAUAAUUAAUAGAAAAGAUUAUUGAAUAAUUAAAGAACACUAGAUAAUUACCGUAAAAUGAGGUCAAAAGACACGAUUUCAAAGUUCGAAUGAUAAAUUUUCUAUAUGAUCGUUGAAAAUAUAAAAUAUAAUUUAGUAUUAUCUUUUUGUCACCACUUAUACUUCACUAUAAUAACUAAAAAUUAUAAAAUAUAUUUUUAUACUCCAAGAAGUGUGCAGAAUUUUGAGCAUGCAUUAGAGGAGGACCA
This 275-nucleotide unclassified non-coding RNA is filed under the name Melitaea cinxia (Glanville fritillary). RNAcentral's name for it is "misc RNA ENSMCXG00005006997.1". The record is from RNAcentral. Lineage: Eukaryota; Metazoa; Arthropoda; Insecta; Lepidoptera; Nymphalidae.